RNAcentral lists this ribosomal RNA (804 nucleotides) under uncultured bacterium. RNAcentral describes it as "bacterial SSU rRNA". It matches the Rfam family "Bacterial small subunit ribosomal RNA", at positions 56 to 873 of the family's 1533-position model. The record is from RNAcentral.
UGCAAGUCGAACGAGAGAUGAGGAGCUUGCUCUUCAAAUCGAGUGGCGAACGGGUGAGUAACGCGUGAGGAACCUGCCUCAAAGAGGGGGACAACAGUUGGAAACGACUGCUAAUACCGCAUAAGCCCACGGCUCGGCAUCGAGCAGAGGGAAAAGGAGUGAUCCGCUUUGAGAUGGCCUCGCGUCCGAUUAGCUAGUUGGUGAGGUAAUGGCCCACCAAGGCGACGAUCGGUAGCCGGACUGAGAGGUUGAACGGCCACAUUGGGACUGAGACACGGCCCAGACUCCUACGGGAGGCAGCAGUGGGGAAUAUUGCACAAUGGGGGAAACCCUGAUGCAGCGACGCCGCGUGGAGGAAGAAGGUCUUCGGAUUGUAAACUCCUGUUGUUGAGGAAGAUAAUGACGGUACUCAACAAGGAAGUGACGGCUAACUACGUGCCAGCAGCCGCGGUAAAACGUAGGUCACAAGCGUUGUCCGGAAUUACUGGGUGUAAAGGGAGCGCAGGCGGGAGAACAAGUUGGAAGUGAAAUCCAUGGGCUCAACCCAUGAACUGCUUUCAAAACUGUUUUUCUUGAGUAGUGCAGAGGUAGGCGGAAUUCCCGGUGUAGCGGUGGAAUGCGUAGAUAUCGGGAGGAACACCAGUGGCGAAGGCGGCCUACUGGGCACCAACUGACGCUGAGGCUCGAAAGUGUGGGUAGCAAACAGGAUUAGAUACCCUGGUAGUCCACACCGUAAACGAUGAUUACUAGGUGUUGGAGGAUUGACCCCUUCAGUGCCGCAGUUAACACAAUAAGUAAUCCACC